This 446-nucleotide ribosomal RNA is filed under the name uncultured bacterium. RNAcentral describes it as "partial 16S ribosomal RNA". It matches the Rfam family "Bacterial small subunit ribosomal RNA", at positions 338 to 795 of the family's 1533-position model. The record is from RNAcentral.
CCUACGGGAGACAGCAGUCGAGAAUCAUUCACAAUGGGGGAAACCCUGAUGGUGCGACGCCGCGUGGGGGAAUGAAGGUCUUCGGAUUGUAAACCCCUGUCAUGUGGGAGCAAAUUAAAAAGAUAGUACCACAAGAGGAAGAGACGGCUAACUCUGUGCCAGCAGCCGCGGUAAUACAGAGGUCUCAAGCGUUGUUCGGAAUCACUGGGCGUAAGGCGUGCGUAGGCUGUUUCGUAAGUCGUGUGUGAAAGGCGCGGGCUCAACCCGCGGACGGCACAUGAUACUGCGAGACUAGAGUAAUGGAGGGGGAACCGGAAUUCUCGGUGUAGCAGUGAAAUGCGUAGAUAUCGAGAGGAACACUCGUGGCGAAGGCGGGUUCCUGGACAUUAACUGACGCUGAGGCACGAAGGCCAGGGGAGCGAAAGGGAUUAGAUACCCCUGUAGUC